Molecule: transfer RNA, 84 nt
Filed under: Thermoflexales bacterium
Lineage: Bacteria; Bacillati; Chloroflexota; Thermoflexia; Thermoflexales
Description: tRNA-Leu
Rfam family: tRNA
About the family: Transfer RNA (tRNA) molecules are approximately 80 nucleotides in length. Their secondary structure includes four short double-helical elements and three loops (D, anti-codon, and T loops). Further hydrogen bonds mediate the characteristic L-shaped molecular structure. tRNAs have two regions of fundamental functional importance: the anti-codon, which is responsible for specific mRNA codon recognition, and the 3' end, to which the tRNAs corresponding amino acid is attached (by aminoacyl-tRNA synthetases). tRNAs cope with the degeneracy of the genetic code in two manners: having more than one tRNA (with a specific anti-codon) for a particular amino acid; and 'wobble' base-pairing, i.e. permitting non-standard base-pairing at the 3rd anti-codon position.
Source: RNAcentral
GCCCGCGUGGCGGAAUUGGCAUACGCAGCAGGUUGAGGGCCUGUGCCGUAAGGCGUGGAGGUUCGAGUCCUCUCGCGGGCACCA